CACACACACACACACACACACACACACACACACACACACACACACUGAGGCUUCUUGCUGCGCGCUCCCGCUCGUGCACGCGCCAGGCCCUGGCACGGUCCCGGAGUCACCAGCCUGAUUAUAAAUAAGAAACGCGCGCGCACGCAUGUAGGCUACCGGGGCACGGCAGCGCGCGCGCGCACGCGGCCUCGCCUCUACUGUAUGAGCAGCUUCCGGCUCAGAAAGCAACUAGAUGCGGCUGCAGCCAAUGGGAAGAGGCCUGCAUCACAGGGUUAACUGUCAGGCUUCACGCUUCUCCUCAUUAUUCCGUUUCUUUGACAUUUUUAGGAACAUUUGAGACGAUUUUCAUCUCAAUCUAUCGACUGAAUAUUGAAAAUAGAUCUGGUUUUGUUUUAAUCCAAAUAUAACACCCCGGUGUGUUUUAAAUGCUUCCCUGCUCUUCAAUAAAUUCAAGUUUUUUUCAUCUAAAGAAUUAAUUUUAGAGUAAAAAUAGAUUUUUUCCACAAUGUUCUGUUGUUUUAUCUGAUCAACCUAAACCAAUAUUUUAAAAUGUUCUCAUCCUGAACAAAUAUACACCUUAGAAUCAAUUUUAAUGGGAGAUUUGUUCAUUUUAAUAAUUUUUCUUACCAUGUUUAUUUGUUUAAUAAUUUGUUGUUUAAUUGAAUAUGUAUCCAGAUUAACCUAUAAAUCUAUUUUCUCAGCGAUUUGUUGUUGUUUUCUUAAUAAAUCAAGAUUAAAGGCCUGGAAGCUUUUUAGAAACGCCUCUUUUUAAACUAAUGUAAGAAUUUCAAUCCUUUUAAACUGAAACUGGUUGAUUUUGAAUCUAUUUUUCCGCCGUUUUAUUCGUUUUAUCAAACAGAAAACGGAUGUAAGAUCUCCAGGGCCUUUUGUUUGCUUGUUUAUUAAAUAAAUAUCAGUUUUAGAAUAAAAAGCGGCGUUAAUUAUUGAACUGUGCUGAUAGCAGUGAUCUUCAGUGACACGGAGCUCCGCGUCCCUUUGUGCUGCAGCAGGAGCCGCUGCGCCACAAAGGACAGAGCAGUGCAGCUGCACGGAGACAAAUAAAGCCAGAAACGCGGCGGGGUGGGAUGCAGGCUGAACUGCAGCACAAUGUGAUCGCAGCAACACGUUGGGUCUGCUGGUUAUUUUUUUUUAUGCCAGAAAAGAAGAAAAAGGCGCGAGCGGACUGAGUAACCCGGCGCGCGCGCAGAGGCCUGCUUAUUGACAGCUCGGUUGAUUGAAAGGAGCACCAAGCAAAUCCGAUCCUCCUCUGUGAGAAACGCGCCGGAGGAGCAGAGAGGAAGAGGAUGCUGCAGGCUCGGCGCCUCGACUCUCUGAAGGAGAAUGUAAACUGAUCACACCCAAAUCUAGCUUUGGUGGCGGAGGGUGGGGAGAAAUUCAAUUAAGGUAAUAAAUUAAAGAUAAUUGGCGCAAACCGCCUUGUAUAAACUUACGGAUGCGGCUCUGCAGCCAAACGCGUCUUUUUAAAGAGAUGAAUAAUUCAGCGCUGCGCUGCGCGGCGCGGCUCCUCAUUUAGGAGGAAUUAGAACAUGCCGGCAUCUGAAUGGAAUUAGAAAAAUAACACAUCCAGAUCGUAAUGAUUUAUUAAUCUGCUUUUGAUGCAAACGCAGCGCGAAUGCUGGGAAUCAGAUUUCAGUGUAAAGGUGAAGCAGCACAGAUGGGAACAACGAUCAGAUUAUGGCGGAAUUUAUUCACAUUAAAGAUGCAAUAAAAGAUUCAUUAGGAGGGAGGAAAAAUAAUAGGAAUCAAUUUGGAAGAUAAACAGGAAGUGGCUCGAUUUUAAUUCACAUUUCUAUGAUGUUAGAGAAGAAACGUUAUUUAUUACGGCUGAAAUGUGGCGUUCAGAGUCCCAGUCACCUGAGCAGCCAUGUUGUCUCUCACCUUUACACGCUGCGGCGUUUCACCGCAUCAACGCGUUAAAAGCUGAUAAAACUGAUCAGCCACUUUCCUCCAAACGGGGAGUAAAUUUUCUCUUUCCAGCAGGAUUCCUCUCUGGAACCGUGCAGCGAGUUGACCUUAAUUUGAGACAAAAAAAGAAAAGAAAACAACAGCAGCCAAUGCGCGGGUUUAAUCUAUUUACUCAUUUAUUCUCUCAGUGUGUUUUAUUACAUUCCGUGCACCCUCCAAAGCCGGUGCAUGCGCGUGCGUGUGCGUGCGCGCGUGCGUGCGCGCCGCUUCUUUCUGCCUGCGAUUUUUAUUUUAAAAUAUUAGGCCGAGGUGGGGAGAAUUAUAAACGACUCGGCUCUUAUCUGCUGCCUUCACGUAUCCAGGAUCACAGAAGCUGAUUAAGAAAGAAGUCACAGCCAACGCUGGAUUCAUAAUGAUUUGGAAUAAUGAAUCCUUAUCUCCCCUCUGCAGAUUAUCAGCCUUUCAGCUCGCCAUGUUUUGUUACAUGGGAUAAUUUAUUGCAUCUAAUACAUCACAAUGAAUCUGAUGGGGGAAAGUGAUGGCCGUGUUAGCAGAGAGGCUGCUUCUUUCCCUUUUUCUUUUUUUAUUUUAUUUUAUCCCGAGGCAAUGAAAUGCCUUUACGAUUUUUAAUUGGUAAAAUAUAAGCAGGAUCUGAUAAAAUAAAAAAUAAAACAGCAGAAAAUAGAAGCAGAGAGGUGUAAUCUUGGCCGCUAGUGUUCCAGCAGCACUGCGCUAUAAUUAGUGUGUCAGUUUCAACCUGAAAUUAACAGCAUCGACCUGCCAUCUCUGGCUCUGCGCGCGCACACCCUCAUUUCGCAUGAUUUAUUUUUCCACCAAGAACAGAUAAUUAAUCAUAAACACAUGGAGAGGAAAAUACUACAGCUGCAGCGAGCUGCAGAUAACAGAACAUUUGCAUCUAAAAAGAUUUGAUGAAACCAGGUUUUUCUUCUUCUUCUCAUCCCACCUGAAGGCUGCGGGUUCGGCUCCACACCGCAAACCUUCCGCUCACUUUGCGUGAUUAAUCUGCGGCUGGUGACGUAUCAUUAAUCACUGCUGCAGGGGCGGCGCAGCUUUAAAUGGGGCCCAGAGUAGAGUCUGAACGGGGACCACAAAACAAUCUAUCUAUCUAUCUAUCUAUCUAUCUAUCUAUCUAUCUAUCUAUCUAUCUAUCUAUCUAUCUAUCUAUCUAUCUAUCUAUCUGUCUUUUUUACUAGUUAUGUUUACAUGCAGAUGUUUAAAAUUUUCGUACUGGUUGAAAUUUUGAUUUUAAAUCCUUUCAAAAUAAAACCUAAAUAAAUAAAAGACGAAUUUUCAACAACAUGGAUUCAGUGGAGACAUUUAGGGUUCCUGAGGCCCCCUGCUGGCCUGGAGGGUUUACGCAGCUCAAAGGUCACAUGACUCAGUUUCAUUAUUUAUGUCUGUUUACACAAAUAUUACCAAUAAUAGUGAUAAUAAUAGUGAUAAUAAUAAUAAUAAUAAUAAUAAUAAUAAUAAUAAUAAUCACAUUAUUCUAUUGUGACCCAAAUGAUGUAACCACACCAUAAAGUGAACUAACUACAUACUAAAUAACUAAUUAUGCAAACAAAUAAAUCUACUGACAUGUGUUUUUAUUUCUGAUUUUCCUUCCUGGUGUUUGUUUGCUCUCCUCCUCUCGUUGCUUAAUCACAACAACAGUAAUAAAAAAUGAACUAAAUCAUAACUUUUAGUUUGUUAAAUUUUCUGUCUGUAUUAUUCUAUUCAAAAUGAUCCGAUCUUUCAAUCACGAUGAAGUUAAAUAAAAAUGUAAAGUUCUUGAGAUCAAAGGAAAAUGAACAUUUUCUUAUUUAUGAUCAACAAAAUUUGAGGUUUUGAGAUUCUGUAUUAUUUCUUCAGCGCCCCCUGCAGGCCUGUUCGGCCUCACAGCAGCAGCUUCAUUCGCUUAUUCCUUGGGCCGGCUGUGAUCCUCCUCAUCAUGAAUGUGCUGCAGUCUGUAUGGUGUGCAUGAAUAAUAAUAAUAAUAAUAAUAAUAAUAAUAAUAAUAAUAAUAAUAAUGAUUUUCUGGAUAAUGAGUUCUUGUUGGAUUGUUGGAGCAGAGCCCGGUCCACUCAGGUUCUGGACGGCGCCAUGUUUGAACUCCAUCACGGUGCCAGGAGAAAUUAGCAUUUUAUUUGCUCUCUCUCUCUCUCUCUCUCUCUCUCUCUCUCUCUCUCUCUCUCUCUCUCUCUCUCAGCAGCACCACCAGAUAUUUAUCUCUUCAUACUCGGGGAAGCUGCCAUGACAAACAAACCCAGGAUGGACCCUCAGCCGGGUAUCCAGGAACCCCCUUCCUCUUCCUCUUCCUCUUCCUCUUCCUCUUCCUGCCUGAGCAGAAUAAUCCAGGACCGGUUGGAGUCCAGAGAGUUUCAUGGACGGAGGGAAACAAAGGCUCUCUAAGGCGGACUGUGGCCCUGGGCAGAAUCUCAUCUGGGGCCCCACCUCCAGCUCUGUCCGUGUGAUUACACUGUAAAAACAUUUGUUGUUUUUACACCUCAUUUUACAGUAACUAACGUUGUUUCCUCAGCCUUUCUGUUCUCUGGAUAAUCUGUUAACUCUUCAAACUGUUUCAUUAAAAUAAAAAAACUCACCUUGAUUCUUUUAUUCUAACAGAAACCUGAUGAAAUCGCAGAAGUUUUUUUAUCCAUUAAGCUUUCAGAUGAGUUGGAAGACGGACUGCUACUGGAGAUCCUGACUCUGAAGAAACGUGGAUGAUAAAAACUACGACAACAUUUACAUUUACUGAAGUAUUUUUAAAUUGAUUUGUGGAAUCCUCUUUAGAAAUCUAACAAAAAUGUUAUAAGUUGUGAUUAUUUAAUUUGCCAUAACUAUAAAUAAUUAGGAAAAACAUUUAUUUACUAUAAAUGUGUGAAGAUGCAAAGACAGUUUUGAUUUUUUUGAUGUGAUUGAACUUUUAUCAAUCAGCAGAUUUUAUUUACUGUUAAAUUGCAUAAAUGUGAAAAGACAUUAAAUAUUGUUUAAUUUUAACAACGCAGAGUCAGCUAUUUAUUAAUAUUAUCAUUUGUUAAAGAUUUAAUAAUAAUUGCUGUCCCAGUAUCCUGAUAUGACCAAAAUGAAACUCUUUCAGUUUCUGGUGAAUAAAUUCAUCAACAUGUUUUACAGAUUAUGAAUCAGUUUUAAUAAAUCUUUUCUGAUGGAUUCACUUCCUGUAUAAAUGUUUUCAGUGGAUUAUCAGCCCCCCCCCCUGGACACGCCCCUGCUGAUUUGUUUCAGCUUUUCCUCCCGCAUUGCGCCGGGUAGAGGAGGGCUGUCGGGUUCAGAGCCCCGCUCCCUGUUUUACUGUCAAUGAGGCAAAGAUCAGGUUGCAGCGGGCCGGACCGGAACCCGAACCGGAUCAGGAGGAAACCUCCACAAACUCCCGGUUACUUCCGGUGUUUCCUGACGGGAUGGAGAGCAGAAACUGAUUCUGACGGACUUCCGGUGAAGUGAAAACUGGACAGUUUCCUCUGAACGCGGAACAAAUGCGGGUCUUUAACUUUAUCAUGACUAACUGAGCCACAGCCUGAAUCUUAUUGAUCUUCAUCAGGCUGAUCAAUUGAACCCAUCGCCUCCUGAUUGGAGGGGAAAGCAGCGCAGAACCCGCUGCGGAACUUUUCAAACUGGGCGCUAAAGAAACGCUUUAACUCCCGCCUGACGCUGCGGGAUGAACCGCAGCUUCGCCGCAGGCUGCCGGUGUGCGGGAGCGGCUGAGUGACGCUCUGUCUGCGGGAUCAUGUUUAAUCCCCGCCUGUUCACAACUCAUUUCUGCACUCAGAGGCGCAGAGAUGGGGACUCAGAUGGUUGCUGGGGCAACCGCGUUAGGACUGACGGAGCCGUUUCCCUGAACGGAGGCAAUCUGCAGCAGAGGUCGUCACAAAGUCAUUCCUGAUUACUUUCCUCUUUCCUGGAGCUUCUCGGCUGCAGCUCAACAUCCAACAGUUCAUUCAGUUCACUCGUUCAGUUCACUCGUUCAGUUCACUCGUUCAGUUGACAGGUGCAAAUCCUGCAUGUGACGUCACGGGGAUCCGUUCCUCGCAGAUCAGAGUUUCAGAUUCCCUGAACGUGAAAGAGCCUUCCCCUCCAUCCUGCGUGUCUCCAGGGAAACCAACACGCAGCAUCAUCAGCAUCCAGCCUCAUAAUCCUGAGAUGAAGGUGAGGUGUCCCGUCUGAUCAAAGCGGCCGCGCGGCGCUGCAGGCCGGCCUCCGUCACUCAAACGCUUCCUGCUCCACCUGCAUGCUGCAGGCCGCCAGGCUGCGCUAGCUUAAUGAAGCAGCCGUUAGCCGUUAGCUUCAUGUGAUCAUCCAGAUGGAAAUGAAGACUGCAGCUUGCAGAGAGCCACAGGCGCCUGCUGUGUGUGUGUGUGUGUGUGUGUGAUAAAGGUGAAGGACAACAAUCUGGAUGAGGAGGACUGGCGAUAAUAAGGCUAAUAAAGUAUCUCUGUGCUGCACAUUGUUCUGCUGCUGCAGCAGCCAGCAGCGCUCUUCCUCAUGAACUCUGAAUAUGCAAACGCGUUUUAUGGAGAAUAAUGUAAUUACAGGAGAAGCUUCAGGUUGUUUUGAUGUCACUGUCCUCCUUUCACAGCCAGCAGGUCUGAAGAGCUGAAGCUGUAAAAGGCCUCAAUAAAACCCAGCACAGAACCGCAGGCUGAACUGGAACAACAGCAGAAUCUGGUCAGAACUUCACAGGAGAACCGCCGGUCUGAUUCAUUCAUUCAUUCAUUCAUUCAUUCAUUCAUUCAUUCUGUUCAACAUCAGAACCGGCUUAAAGGGCCAGUACCAUGUCAUUUUAUAACAUAAUAAAGCAACUAUGUUAUAUCCA
Long non-coding RNA from Xiphophorus couchianus (Monterrey platyfish), 6757 nucleotides. RefSeq lists it as uncharacterized. The transcript is spliced from 4 exons. Lineage: Eukaryota; Metazoa; Chordata; Actinopteri; Cyprinodontiformes; Poeciliidae. The record is from RefSeq and is a predicted model, not a curated record.